UACGAAGGGGGCUAGCGUUGUUCGGAAUCACUGGGCGUAAAGCGCACGUAGGCGGAUCGAUAAGUCAGGGGUGAAAUCCCGAGGCUCAACCUCGGAACUGCCUUUGAUACUGUCGAUCUUGAGUCCGGGAGAGGUGAGUGGAACUCCGAGUGUAGAGGUGAAAUUCGUAGAUAUUCGGAAGAACACCAGUGGCGAAGGCGGCUCACUGGCCCGGUACUGACGCUGAGGUGCGAAAGCGUGGGGAGCAAACAGG
This 253-nucleotide ribosomal RNA is filed under the name uncultured bacterium. Its description in RNAcentral is "partial 16S ribosomal RNA". It matches the Rfam family "Bacterial small subunit ribosomal RNA", at positions 524 to 776 of the family's 1533-position model. The record is from RNAcentral.